This 1614-nucleotide ribosomal RNA is filed under the name Triticum aestivum (bread wheat). RNAcentral describes it as "partial small subunit ribosomal RNA". Lineage: Eukaryota; Viridiplantae; Streptophyta; Magnoliopsida; Poales; Poaceae. The record is from RNAcentral.
AUGGAAAAUUUGGGGCAAGUGAAUGAUGCGUUGAGAUCAACUAUGUGCUCUCUUCGGUCCUGGAGUAAUAAGAGGUUUGGAGACAUCACUCGAGAUAUUAAUAAAACACGCACCCGGUUGGAAGAACUGAUGAACAUGAACGCUGAUAGGCAGGAAAUAAGAGAAGUCUCUGAUAAAUUGAAUGAAACGCUAUAUAAGGAGGAGAUGUUGUGGCUCCAAAGGUCUCGAAUCACGUGGCUCAAGGAGGGGGACAGGAAUACAAAGUACUUUCAGAGUAAGGCAGUAUGGAGGGCGAGAAAGAACAAAAUCAGAGAGCUUCAGGAUAAUGAUGGUAAUAUUCACACGGAUAUUCAUGAAAUGGGCAAUAUGGCUACUUCUUAUUUCCAGGAGAUAUUCACUGUGGAUCCUAACCUUGACGCUUCGGCUGUCUUGGAAUUGUUUGAUGAGGUGGUAACAGAGAAUGACAAUGCAAAAUUAUGUGGUGAGUUUACAGACAUGGAAAUCUCUGAUGCUCUUUUUCAGAUAGGGCCACUGAAGUCCCCGGGCCUGAACGGAUUCCCUGCAAGAUUUUUCCAGCGUAACUGGGAUGUCCUAAAGGAGAAUAUCAUUAAAGAAGUUAGAGAAUUCUUCAGAACGGGUAUCAUGCCAGAUGGGGUUAAUGACACUUGCAUAGUCUUAAUCCCAAAGGUUGCGAGUCCCACAAAGUUAUCCGAUUUCCGACCUAUUAGCCUUUGCAAUGUGAUUUAUAAAGUGGUCUCCAAGUGUUUGGUUAAUAGAUUGAGACCCCUCUUGGAUGAUAUCAUUUCACCAGAACAAAGUGCCUUUAUACCUGGCAGGAUGAUCACUGACAAUGCACUUAUUGCUUUUGAGUGUAUUCAUUACAUUAAGCAGGAGAAAGAUCCAUCUAAAAGUUUUUGUGCAUACAAACUUGAUUUGUCAAAGGCAUAUGAUCGGGUUUACUGGAACUUCUUGAGGCAAGUGAUUCAAAAGUUGGGUUUUGCUCAUCGAUGGAUUGACUGGAUUAUGACUUGUGUCACGUCGGUGAGACAGAGGGUUGAGGUGCGCACAAUUACUCCUGUGAAGAUUUGUAGGCGUGCACCUGGCGUCUCACAUCUUUUGUUCGCGGAUGACACUUUGUUGUUCUUCCAAGCAUCACGAGGACAAGCUGAACAUGCCAAAUCAUGUCUUAAUAUCUAUACACAAGCUACUGGUCAGCUCCUGAAUUAUAACAAAUGCUCUAUCAUGUUCGGUGAGGCAUGUCCAGUUAAUUUGCAAGAUGAAGUCCGGGAGGUGUUACAUGUUACAAAUUCCGGUUUUGAGGAGAAGUAUCUGGGUCUUCCAACCCCCAAUGGUAGGAUGUCAAAAGGAAGAUUUCAAAACCUGCAGGCACAACUUAUGAAAAGACUAAUUCAAUGGGGAGAUGGCCUUCUUGCCCAACCUGGGAGGGAAGUACUUAUCAAAUUAGUAGCAGAGGCCCUCCCUGUUUACAUAAUGGGAGUUUUCAAGCUUCCCUUUUCGGUCUGUGAUGAUCUGACAGAGAUGGUACGAAAUUUUUAUUGGGGUGCCUCUAAAGGUAAACGUAAAGUGCAUUGGAAAGCAUAUCAGAAACUUUAG